AUGUACCAGUUGAGUACUGGGGUUGAUGUAAUUGAUUUAACCCCUUUUUCUGAAAUUACUGGCCUUGUGCCAAAAUCCAAUACCAUUAUUAUUUUGUGUGUGUGUUUUUUUUCUCUCUCUCUCUCUCUCUCCUCUGGUUUCUCUAAAAGAUGAAUUCCAAAUCAGUGGCUCCAAAUCAUUAUGUUGUCUUUCCUUCUCUUUUUUUCUCUCUCUCUCCCUAACUCUCUCUCUUUUUAUUCUCUUUUCUUUCUCUUCUCACAAUCAUUAACUUCAGUUCUGCAUUGUCAUAAAUCUGUGAUAACUCUAAAUAUUUGCAUUGACGCAAAUGAACUCUUAAUAAUGUUUGCUACACAACUGAAGUAGUGCUUACUUCUUCUACCGGCUUGUUUUAUAUAUAUAUAUAUAUAUAUAUAUAUAUAUAUAUAUAUAUAUAUAUAUACACAUAUAUAUAUGAAAAAUCAGUUGUGUGGUGUUUCUGCUGUCUCUACACACCAUCUUUGAGGCAGUGUUGGAAUAAAUAUAUAUAUUAAAAAAAAAAUUUGAAAAUAAAUAUAUUGUAAUAAAUACAAUUCAUAAUAAAGAACAACUCAAAUAAAAAAGAUAUUUAAAAAAAAAAAUGUCUUUGUUUGGAAUACAAACAGAAUCUUUAAUUGUCUGUCUAUUCAUUCAUUAAACAUAUCUUAAUUAA
Octopus sinensis (East Asian common octopus) is the source of this 688-nucleotide long non-coding RNA. RefSeq lists it as uncharacterized. The record is from RefSeq and is a predicted model, not a curated record. Lineage: Eukaryota; Metazoa; Mollusca; Cephalopoda; Octopoda; Octopodidae. The transcript is spliced from 2 exons.